This 1301-nucleotide long non-coding RNA is filed under the name Cricetulus griseus (Chinese hamster). RNAcentral describes it as "lncRNA (ENSCGRG00015033682.1)". Lineage: Eukaryota; Metazoa; Chordata; Mammalia; Rodentia; Cricetidae. The record is from RNAcentral.
CGGGAGGGGGCGGCCGGCGGCCUCUUAAAGAGACAGCAGUGCCGGGUGGUGGGCGAUGACCCCAGCCGGGAACGAGCUCCGGGAUGCGUCCCCGGGAGCUUCUGGGUCCGCGAAUGGAUGGCUAGGACGCAGGCAGAACGAUGCUGUGCAGCGUCUGCUCUGCCAACCCCUCUGCACUUCCCUCUCCAGAGCCGGGUGGGGGCGGGGAGGGAGGGCGUCUCCGUCGAGUCGGGGCGUUCACGCCCGCUCCUGCCUUCGGCCUGUCGUGGGGCUAGCGCGGACCCCGGUAAUCCCCUGGCGGGCACGGACAGGCCCACUCCAGUGUGCAGACUGCCGUCGGUCCUGUGCCGUCCGGUACCUGGGUAGCCCUGGAGGAUGAAAUUUCCCUGUUGGGUCUUCGAGCAGCCCAUGACUGAUGUCCUGCCGGCUGCUCGGUGGCUGGUGAGCAAAUGGAUGCCAGUGAUGAACGAAGCAGAGAGACUGACUCUUGCCAGCUAUGCCAGCUAGUCCAUAAGGAGCCAUUGGACAAGAGAUUUCUCUAGGUCUCUCAGAGUGGCUGGGCAGCAUCUAGACUGCUAGGGUUUCUGGAUGGUGGUCAUCAGACUCGUCUCUUAAAAGCCUUUUCCAACAGUGCCUCUAACAUUCCCAACCGAUUUGCUAAGCAGUUUUUAUAUAUAGGCAAUGGCUCAUUUGGUCUCUGUGAUGACCCGGGAGGGAGACAGGUGUUAGGGAGUCUGCGUGUGUAGACUGGGGGAUUAUUUUGGAGAGUGUGAGUCACUGUCCAGGGCUCCACAGCUGGGCAGUGGCAGACCCAGGCUUGAAGCUGCAUUUUUGACUUUAGCUUCCAUUCUACCCAAGCUUAUCCAGGUUUCCCCUUCCCCCUGUUUGCUAAAGUUGUCCUUAAAUGUUCUGUAUACUGGAUUUAGAAGCCUGUAGGAUCUGCAGGAAUGGUUAACUUGAUGUGCUUUGUGCUAUACUGUUACUGAAUCAGUAAAUAAAAGAUCACAUGACUGCUUCUUGUCUUGGAUUCAGCUGAUACGUACCUCCCCAAGAUGAUACACAGUAUACACAUUUCCUUUGCAGUAGAUUCCUGGGUCAAAAGCCCCCCCUCCCCGUCUUAAAAAAAAUCUCAAGGCUUUUACAGAUGACAAAACAUGAAGUUGAUAUAAUUUUUUUAAAGAAGUUGACCAUUGGUCAGUAACACAAGCUCCUGUGAUAAGUUUCUAUAGAGACGUUAGCCUUGGCCCUUGGUUCAGCUUGCAGUGCCUUUGCUGUAAAUGGAAAAGCUGAUUUCCUUUUUU